GGCCACGGCUCAGUUGGAAGAGCAUUGGGCUAGUAUUCCAAAGGUCGUAGGUUCGAAUCCCGCCGUGGCCA
This 71-nucleotide transfer RNA is filed under the name Paramuricea clavata. It matches the Rfam family "tRNA". From Rfam's summary of the family: Transfer RNA (tRNA) molecules are approximately 80 nucleotides in length. The record is from Rfam by way of RNAcentral. Lineage: Eukaryota; Metazoa; Cnidaria; Anthozoa; Malacalcyonacea; Plexauridae.